Molecule: long non-coding RNA, 751 nt
Organism: Bubalus bubalis (water buffalo)
Lineage: Eukaryota; Metazoa; Chordata; Mammalia; Artiodactyla; Bovidae
Exons: 6
Source: RefSeq, a predicted model, not a curated record
UCUCCAUAUAUAUAUAUAUCAUACAUAUGUGCUUAAAUGACAUGAAUAAAUCAGCAACAACAACAAAAAAACAAGACAAAGAACAAAUACAAAACCCACAAAGAUCUUCCUCCCGACAAGCUGUAGUAAUUGACGUCAACUAGUUAGCAAGGCUGAAGCAGGUACUAUAUACUGUGCUACUAGAAGAAGACAGAUUGGUACCUAUGCUAAGAGAUAGAAGAGCUUAGACAACGUCCAGAAGACCACAUAGGGAGCCACUGUCUGUGGCAACAACGUGGACUCGCUGAAGUCUUGACUCAGACAAUAAAUCUGUGAAUUUGGCAACAGUCCAAGCUCUCCAGCCAGAGCGAACAAGACAGUCGGUAUUAUGACAGCCUGCAGGUAUUUCUCCUGGCUUAGGAAGGCUUAAGAACCUAUGUCAGGGAGCAGAGUUGACCUACAGCCCUCAGCUGAAAUAGCUCUGGAGUCUACACAGCGUUCUUGCAGAGGCCGUGCAGACAAUGAAUGGCCAGAGUUGCUGUUCAGGGAACUCUUGAUGGUACUGAUACUGAAAGUGCAAAGGAUGCCAUGCUGCAGGCUGAUUCGAAUUUAGAGAUGAGCCGAAACAGAAAAGACGCUUGUUUCUUAUUGUCAGUUCUACAACAAGCAGGGGAUUUUUUUUUGGCAAGAAUUCUGCAGACAUCUCUGACCAGAAGGAGAGUUAUUAUUUCCAUUUUAUAUUUAGAGAAAUAAAGACAAAUGAAGAAAUUGA